GACGAACGCUGGCGGCGUGCUUAACACAUGCAAGUCGAACGGAAAGGCCCUGCUUUUGUGGGGUGCUCGAGUGGCGAACGGGUGAGUAACACGUGAGUAACCUGCCCUUGACUUUGGGAUAACUUCAGGAAACUGGGGCUAAUACCGGAUAGGAGCUCCUGCUGCAUGGUGGGGGUUGGAAAGUUUCGGCGGUUGGGGAUGGACUCGCGGCCUAUCAGCUUGUUGGUGGGGUAGUGGCUUACCAAGGCUUUGACGGGUAGCCGGCCUGAGAGGGUGACCGGCCACAUUGGGACUGAGAUACGGCCCAGACUCCUACGGGAGGCAGCAGUGGGGAAUAUUGCACAAUGGGCGGAAGCCUGAUGCAGCAACGCCGCGUGCGGGAUGACGGCCUUCGGGUUGUAAACCGCUUUCGCCUGUGACGAAGCGUGAGUGGCGGUAAUGGGUAAAGAAGCACCGGCUAACUACGUG
This 468-nucleotide ribosomal RNA is filed under the name uncultured bacterium. RNAcentral describes it as "partial 16S ribosomal RNA". It matches the Rfam family "Bacterial small subunit ribosomal RNA", at positions 28 to 507 of the family's 1533-position model. The record is from RNAcentral.